UUUUGAGAUGGUAAAAUAAAACCCAUUAAGCAAAGCCUGCGCAGUAUAUACAAAUAAUAGAACAAAACAGAGCUUCUAUACUAAUCUAGCCCCAAAGCAUUUCAUGCACUAAUAUACUCCAAAGGCAACUACAGAAUAAUGGAGUCUUUGCCCAAAAAGGCUCGAACCAGUUGUUCACAGAUUGUGAGCGAAAGAUUUCACUGGUCAAUUAUUCCUUCUAAAGUACUCAAAAGAAAGGACACGAAAAUUUUAGAAUAAAAGUAAUGUGAGAUAGAAUUACUCAGAAACAAAAAGGGAAAAAAUCGAAAAGAGGAUGAGGAGAAGGACAAGUAUUUAACAUGAGAUUACUGAGGAGAAAGUGGGGGAAAGAUGAAAAUUAAGAAAAAUAUAUUGAAGAACCACGUAAUGAAAUCUGGCCCUGUGCCGAGACUGCCAUCAACUCGUUGGCCCAGAACUAGAGCCGGCGCCGGAACUUGAGCUGGAUCCAGAGAGCAGUUCAGCAAGAGCGCUCAUGGCUCGAACUUGCAUCUCCAAAGCAGCUAUAUAAUCAGUCGCUUCUUCUAGAAUAACAGGCAAUGGUUGUUUCCGACAACCAGGAACCAAUCGGCCUAGAAGCCGCACUUUCCUUUGCACAGCCGGCAAACUCUUCCCUUUCAACCUCAAAACGCUAACUCUCGGCUUCUUCGAUCGGCUAGUU
This 697-nucleotide unclassified non-coding RNA is filed under the name Hevea brasiliensis (rubber tree). The record is from RNAcentral. Lineage: Eukaryota; Viridiplantae; Streptophyta; Magnoliopsida; Malpighiales; Euphorbiaceae.